GGUUCAAUUGAUUCACCUGCCUUGGCCUCUGAAAGUGCUGGGAUUACAGGGGUGAGCCACUGCGCCUGGCCAUCCCUUGGUUUAGAAUACUAUGGUGCUCACCAGAUCUUCCCAACAGUCCCGGUCAGGGAGGGCUGAUGCCUCCCUCCACAAACAGCUAGCCCAAAGGGCUCUCAGCUUGCUGAGUCUAAAUUCUCACUUUAUGGAGAAAGAAAUCAAGACACGUGACCUGCCAAGGCAACAGAGCUGGGUAUCCUAACCUGAUUUCUGAAACUUCAUGGUUUGGUCCAGUAGGAGCUAUUUAGGGAAUCCCCAGUACAUGCCCUGCGUGUGCCUAGCUUGGCAGAGAAGGCCCCAGAAGUAGAAGCCAGGGCCCAGCCUAGAACCUAUUAAGUUGAAAACCCACGUAGAGAGACUGAUGGCUGGGUGCUGUGGCGUGUGCCUGUGGUUCCAGCUACUGGGGAGGCUGAAACAGGAGGAGGAUCCUUGGAGCCUAGGAGUGUAUGACCAGCCUGGGUGAUGCAGCACAACCCCGUCUCUCUUUUCUUUUGUUUUUUCGAGACAGAGUCUCGCUCUCUCACCAGGCUGGAGUGCAGUGGCACGAUCUCGGCUCACUGCAACGUCCGACUCCCUGGUUCAAGUGAUUCUCCUGUCUCACCCUCCAGAGUGGCUGGGAUUACAGGCAUGCGCCACCAUGACUAGCUAAUUUUUGUAUUUUUAGUAGAGACGGGAUUUCACCAUGUUGGCCAGGAUGGUCUCGAUCUCCUGACCUCGUGAUCCACCCACCUCGGCCUCCCAAAGUCCUGGGAUUACAGGCCUGAGCCACCGCACCCGGCUAACCCCAUCUCUUUGGAGACAACAACAACAACAACAACAACAACAACAACAACAACAACAACAAAAACCUGUUAUGAAGUCACCAGGAAGAGGUGGUCAAGUUGCAGUGAAAAUUGCACUUAAGGCUGGGUGCAGUGACUGACACCUGUAAUCCCAACACUUUGGAAGCCCGAGGCACGAGAAUCAUUUAAGCCCAGGAGUUUGAGAUCAGGCUGGGAAACAUAUCGAGACCCUGUCUUUACAAAAAAUUAAAAAAUGUGCCAGGUGUGGUGGUGUGCCUCUGUAUUCCCAGCUACUCAGGAGGACAAGGCAGGAGGACUGCUUCAGCCCAAGAGUUGGAGACUGCAGUGAGCCAUCGUCACGCCACUGCACUCCAGCCUGGGUGACAGAGAGAGACCCUGUCUCAAAAUAAAAAAAAAAAAAGGCAAAAGGUAAUCACAUUUAAUAUACUUGAGUUCCAACCUGUGGACGGACCCUGUGUGAAGUACUUUAAAUGCAUCAUCUCAUUUAAUCUUCACAACAGUUCAAUGAAGUCAGUUUUGUCAUUGUCAACUAAUGAGGAAACCAGAGGCCAGAGAAGGGAAGUGACUUGCCCUAACUUACACAGUUUAUCGCUUUAAGACUCAAACCAGGUUUCUCAGACUCCAAAGUCCCUUCGAGAGCCUGCUGGUUCCCUUCUCUGUUCCCCUCCCAAUCCAGCUCAGAGCUUCACCCUUCCCCAAGGAAAUCUGAGACCUGGAUGUGGAGUAGAAAAAGGAAGUGGCAGAAAAGGAAGAAGAUAACUGAUACUUGGGGAAAACUAUUAGUCCUGGGCAUGAGAUGUGGGCCACCUACCCGCAGGGGGAGUGACCAAGAGUGAGGAGAGUUUGAGGACCAGAGAAUCCCACAGGAAGGGGGAGAGCAAAUUCCAUAUUCAUCUAAACUUCACAGGCAGUGUGACAGCCAAGGGAAGGGGUGUGACGGUGGCGUUGGGGGCCUGAGCAAAAGCGAGGAGAGGGCGGGAAAGGACGGACCGGCGGGAGCGACAGGACAGCGCGACCCAGGCAAAGGGUAGGAGGCAGCCCCGGAAGAGAGGACCUGCGGGAGACGCGACCCAAGCGGCGCUUCGGGGCCUCCCGCGUAGUUGGCUAGCUUCUGGGCCGGCCCCAGGAGCCGGGCUUCAGGAGAAAGAGAAGGGUAGAGGGAUUCACUGCCCGACCUAAAGGGCCCAAGCCUGAACCCGAGACCAGAAACUAUCAAGACGGGCUCCAAAACUCCGGGACAGUUGUCAAGCAGCAGGUGGGGAAACUGAGGCCUGAAGUGACCGGGACUGCGGGGUCAUCUGACCGAUAAGGCCUGGGUUCUUCGUGUACUGGGCAGUCCUAACUCGCAGCCGCGCGUCAUCACCCGCAUUUCAUAGAUGAAAAAACUGAGUCUCGGGAAACUCACUCAAGGUCAAAAACUUUGUGAGGAGCAGAGCUCAUAAGAGCCCGCGGUCUCCAGAACCCCACAACAACAUCUGAAAAUAUGAGAGCAGCCGCCUCACCCGCAACAGGGGGAGCCCCUCCUGCCACCAGGGGACCGUCGCCGCCCCUCGCGAGAAG
RNAcentral lists this long non-coding RNA (2420 nucleotides) under Homo sapiens (human). Its description in RNAcentral is "HSALNT0363388". The record is from RNAcentral. Lineage: Eukaryota; Metazoa; Chordata; Mammalia; Primates; Hominidae.